GACGAACGCUGGCGGUGUGCUUAACACAUGCAAGUCGAACGGUAAGGCCCUUUCGGGGGUACACGAGUGGCGAACGGGUGAGUAACACGUGAGUAACCUGCCCUCAUCUCUGGGAUAACAGUCGGAAACGGUUGCUAAUACUGGAUAUGAGCUUGCAAGGCAUCUUGUGGGUUGGAAAGAUUUUUUGGUUGGGGAUGGACUCGCGGCCUAUCAGCUUGUUGGUGAGGUAGUGGCUCACCAAGGCUUCGACGGGUAGCCGGCCUGAGAGGGCGACCGGCCACAUUGGGACUGAGAUACGGCCCAGACUCCUACGGGAGGCAGCAGUGGGGAAUAUUGCACAAUGGACGGAAGUCUGAUGCAGCAAACGCCCGCGUGCGGGGAUGACGGGCCCUUUCCGGGGUUGUAAAACCCGCUUUUCAAAUUGUGAA
RNAcentral lists this ribosomal RNA (428 nucleotides) under Arachnia propionica. RNAcentral describes it as "bacterial SSU rRNA". It matches the Rfam family "Bacterial small subunit ribosomal RNA", at positions 28 to 448 of the family's 1533-position model. Lineage: Bacteria; Bacillati; Actinomycetota; Actinomycetes; Propionibacteriales; Propionibacteriaceae. The record is from RNAcentral.